This 459-nucleotide ribosomal RNA is filed under the name Schizaphis graminum (greenbug). Its description in RNAcentral is "partial 12S small subunit ribosomal RNA". The record is from RNAcentral. Lineage: Eukaryota; Metazoa; Arthropoda; Insecta; Hemiptera; Aphididae.
UUAAAACUAGGAUUAGAUACCCUAUUAUAAAAAUUUAAAUUAAUUUACUAAAAAAUUAAUAGUUAUGUUCUUUAAAUUUAAAAAAUUUGGCGGUAUUUUAGUCUUAUUAGAGGAACCUGUUUAUUAAUUGAUAAUCCACGAUUAAUUUUACUUAUUUUAUUAAUUCAUAUAUCGCUGUCAUGAAUAUAUUAAAAAAUUUAUUUUCUACAUUUAUUAUUAUAANUNAUGUUAAGUCAAGAUGUGGUUUAUAAAUAAGAAUAUAAUGGGUUACAUUAAAUUAUAUUUUUGGAUUUUAAAUGAAAAUUAAAAUGAAAUUGGAUUUAAUAGUAAAUUUAUUUAUUUUGUUAAUAUGAAGAAAGAUCUAAAAUAUGUACAUAUUGCCCGUCAUUCUUAUUAAAAAUAAGACAAGUCGUAACAAAGUAAAUGUACUGGAAAGUGUAUUUAGAAAGAUUAUAUAAA